UACGGGGGGGGCAAGCGUUGUUCGGAAUUACUGGGCGUAAAGGGCUCGUAGGUGGCCAACUAAGUCAGACGUGAAAGCCCACGGCUCAACCGUGGAAGUGCAUCCGAAACUGCAUGGCUUGAGUCUCGGAGAGGAAGGUGGAAUGCUUGGUGUAGAGGUGAAAUUCGUAGAUAUCAAGCAGAACACCUGCGGCGAAGGCGGCCUUCUGGACGAUGACUGACGCUGAGACGCGAAAGCGUGGGGAGCAAACAGG
RNAcentral lists this ribosomal RNA (253 nucleotides) under uncultured bacterium. RNAcentral's name for it is "partial 16S ribosomal RNA". It matches the Rfam family "Bacterial small subunit ribosomal RNA", at positions 524 to 776 of the family's 1533-position model. The record is from RNAcentral.